Molecule: non-coding RNA, 1564 nt
Organism: Anas platyrhynchos (mallard)
Lineage: Eukaryota; Metazoa; Chordata; Aves; Anseriformes; Anatidae
Source: RefSeq, a predicted model, not a curated record
GGAGGUACCUGUUUCAGAACAAAUGCAAAUGUUAAAGUUUCCUUCUGUGUGCCACCUUUCCACCUCAAGAAACAGAAAACUAUGAGGACACGGCAGAUCUGGUGGUACAGUAUGACAAAAGGGUGCUAAUGGUUCCCAGAUAUUUUAUAGCACAUACCCAAGACGUGAGAUAACUGGGCUCCAGACCCUCCUCAGCCUCAAAGGGUUUGAAUUCACAUUUCCAGGGAAUGCUGUGGAUAUUCUGGUAAGAGCAUUCAUCAUUAUUCUUAUAAUAACAACGUUGCUGUGCAGCCAAAAACAAAAGGCACCAAGACAGAAAAGAAGCUGACAAGGUUUUGACUGUUGUUUAAGUGCUGAAGCACUUGGAUGGCAGGAGGUAGAAGAAAAGAUGAAAGUGGGGUUCCAGAUCCUAUUCACUGUAACUAUAUUGCUAAUGGAUAAAAGCAAAGAGACUUGGAGAUCAUCGUUUGGAGUAUUAGCUGUCCUUUUUUUUUCCCUGAAUAACAUAAUCUGUAGAGGGAAAUGAACAUAUGUUCACAACCAGAUGCAGAAGAGAGCCUGAACUGCACCUGUCCUGUAUCACGCACGACUACUCUGACUUAGUGGACACCAAGCAAAAAUCAUUAACUGUGGACCUGACUGCUCGGAACCAUAUGGUCUACGGAGGAACUAUGGAGUAAAGGAAGGUACUACAGGAAAUCACAAACUGGCAUACCACAAAGUGCAAACUUAACGGAAACUCCGUUUUUACAUGGCAGAGUUACCCACCAGUAACCAUCGUGAACACUCUGGUACAGUUUCGGCGACUAAAACCAAGACGAAAGCCAACUGCUGCUACAAGAAACCGUAGUGCUACAGCAUCCCCACCUCCAAAAAAUCCACUUCUGCACUGCCCAUCUUGCAACCGCCCCCUGCCCUCAGCUGCCACCUCGGCCUGCAGGGCUGGUGGGGCACACCUUGUUCAUCCCCUUCCACAUCCAGGCCAAUUUUCUGUAAGCUUCAAUGAAUUGAACCAGGCCUCCAAAGGGCCAGAUGAGUACUGAAAAAGCAACUUCUGCAAGGUCACAGCUGGCUGCCGGAAUGACUGACCUUGGUAACUGCGCUGCGCUCCUUGGGUGCUGCUAAACCAAGGCGGGCCCACCUGCCUCCCUGCCCUGCUCUCCUCGGGUACUGCUCCGUAACAGCGAGACAGUCUGAGUUAUAUAUAUAUAUAACUCAGAACUCUGUUCUGAGUUAUAUAUAUAUAUGUAUAUAUAUAUUUUUUUCAAUUGGUUUUUAAUUUAUUUUGACAAAAAAUUAAAAAAAAAUAAGAAAAAUAAGACUACUGCAGAGCAAACCACUCUGUUUUUUUAUUUCAGGAUUCUAAUGACAAGAAGGUGGCAUAACAUUAACAUCUAGCAUCUAAAUAUUUAAUUGUGAGUUGUAAAAAGGUGCCUUAUCUAACACAGUUUAGAGUGAGACUUGCACUGAAGCAACUCUCAGCAUACUUUGAACAUCAGGUAAACGGCCAAGAAAAUGGAUAUACAGAGUUAAUAAUAAAAAUUAAAAAAUGGUCAUCCCACUA